Xyrichtys novacula (pearly razorfish) is the source of this 3977-nucleotide non-coding RNA. The record is from the annotation of a GenBank genome assembly. NCBI's taxonomy places the organism in Eukaryota, Metazoa, Chordata, Actinopteri, Labriformes, Labridae.
CGGCCUUAACGCCGAGCUGCUGGAGAUGUACAGUUGAGUCUUUGUGUCUGCGAGCUGAAAAGCAAAUUUGACAUUUGAAGGAGGCUGAUAGGAAGGAACAAGUACAAGUGUUCCCUGCAGCAGAUCCACUUUCUGGAAAAGGAUCUAAGGUCAGACGGAUUUAGAGCCUUCUGUUUUUACACAGACUGCUCGGAUGCUGUUUAACACCUCUCAGCUAAGUUGUGUGGGCCUGCAGCACCAGUGUGUGUGUCUGUAUGUGUGUGUUUGUCUCGUGGAUGUGCAAGUAAAAGGCAUGUGCAGUUUGUGCAGCGAGUGUUCCUGGAAGAAAAUAUCGAUUUGAGCCGCCGCUGCCGCGCUGUCUUUUGUUCCUUCCUUUCUUUUCUUCCAAAGUUAAAAUGAACAAACAAAUCGAUGUGCAGCUUCAACAUAAAGAGGAGAAAAUAAACUCUCAGCUGUUUUUUAUUUUGGUGUCCAAUCUUCACACCUCUGAUUAUACGGACGCUGCUCCUGUAAAAACUCCGACAGAGAGGAGGAGGAGGAGGAGGAGGAGGAGGAGUCCAUUUAGGGUUUAGUGGAGGAGAGAGCGCUCUUCAUUCACGCUCUUAUGGAGGUCUGAGUCGGUGCACUGCAGAGCAGGAUGGAGGCAUGUGUGUGUGUGUGUGUGUGUGUGUGUGUGUGGACAUUAAUAAUUCAGCAGCUUCUCCACAGUGAGUCCUGGAUUCCCAUCCUCCACCCGUCUCAGAGGACCCACAGCAGGCUCUGCACGCACCAGGAAAAAGACCACAUGGGGGUCUGUCGGGGAAUUCAGCUUCACCCGGGGACCGUCACCAUGAUGGAGAGGGAAAAGCUGCCCGAACUUGACCUCUGACCUUGUGCAGAGUGUAGUUAACAUUGAGAUGAAUGUGGAGGAGAAGUGUGCGAGGUCUUGGUGUGAGAAACCUGCAGAGAGUGAAAACAUCAGUGAGAUCUGACAGAGAGGGAAACUGAUGAUGAUCCAGAAACAUCCUGAGAGGAGACGAGGAAACUCUUUAUUUAUCUUUAGUGUUUGGAUUAUUACAGAGCUGCUCAAUUUCCUGACCACAUAAUUAACCCACAAACCACACGGACACACACACACACACACACACACUCACACACCGAUGUUAUUUGCACCUCCUCUUUACUGCAGGAACUCCAACAGAAAGUUGUAAUUAAGCAGAGAUGUCAUCUCAAUCGAUUGUUUCCUGUUUAAUGAGUGUGUGUGUGUCUGUGUGUGUCUGCGUGCGCCAAAGUGUCUCAGAUGUAUAGAAACACAGAUACAUAUGCAUACAUGUGUUUUCAUUUACAUUUGUGUGGGAGAGAGGAGGAGGAGGAGGAGGAGGAGGAGGAGGAGGAUCCACGAUCAUCUGUUUGUUUGUCAGGAUGAGCGGUCGGCCUGCGUGAACACGGUCAUGUUUGCUAAUGAACCUGAAGUGAAAACAGACGUUUGUGAGUUUUAAUAGAUUAUUGAAAUCAGGUUUGAUUAUACGAGCAGUUUCAGGCUCUGAAGGUCAGAGUGAGAGCUCUCAGUAUUCACACAUGAACUCAGCGACGAAGACGACGUUAAAGCUCCUGUGAGGAACUUUUGGACAAAUCUGUCUGUUUACCUUCAUCUCCACAUGCCGAGGAAGUGUUUAUGGACCAAACUCUCAACAUUUAUUGUAGAUAUUUUAAGUGUUGGUCGUAAAAAAAGGGCUGUUUCUUCAGUCGCCAUGUUGUCACCUACCCCCUCAGGCAUUAAAAAGUGUGUUUUAAACAAUCAUACAUCUUCUUUUCUGGGGUCUGUCCGGCCUUGUCCGGGGGAGUUUAUAAAAUCCUUCAAACGUCCACAGGUUUUGUGUGGAAGUUUUGAGUUUGUGUCGCGUGGACUAACUGAGUUAGAAGGGAGUAAAAAACACUCAAUCCAACCCGAAAAACCCUCAAAAUUAACUAUCCGUGACUCCGCCCCCGCGUAGUGGUGUCCUCUUUUUGGGGAUUCAGAUUAUGGUCACCCUAGUCAGUCGUGUUGCUGACGGUCUUGUUUGUUUUUGGAGAUCAUAAACAGACAUUAAUGUGGAUUUUAGUCUGUUGUAAAAAAGUCCUUCAAAUAUCUGAAAUCUUACUUCUUUAUCUAAAUCUUAUCUUCAAAUAUGAACGCUCCUUUAAAUAUAAUCGUUUUAAUAGUUCUGCAGCAUUUCCACAAACACUAACUUGUUCUUUGUUCAUCCUGUUUUUCACGAGAGGCUGAAAACCCAGAGAGAUCAGAUCCUGCUGCUUUACGGUUUUGGACCUUUCAGUCCUUCACUAAAGGAAGCUGUGUCUCGUCUGACCUGUGUUGUCUGAGCGGAUCGAUUCGUCCUGUGGUACAUGUGUGAUGGAUGGACCCUCACAAAUAAUCCACCCUGAUAGAUGAACCUAUUGACUUGACACACACGUGUGUGUCUGCUCUUCCAAGAACGCGGGGAACAAAGCGAGCGCUGCAGAAAUCAGGAGCAGAUUAACCGAAGCAGCAACAACAAAUUAUCUUUGUUUUUGUUGUUUUCAUGUUUUUGCAGAAAUCCACACAGAUGGAGGUUCACUAAAGUCAGACUGAGAUCAACAUGAUUUCUGUGCAAACAUCUAUAAUCUGAUUCAAGACUAGACCGGGUUAAAGUGUCCUCUGUUACAGUUUCAGGGUCUCUAGGUGAACAGACACUAACACACACAUGCACACACACACAGACUUAUUUUCCCUGCAGACACACAUGCACACCUUCCUGACCCCCACAUCCACACACUCCUCCUCCUCCUCCCUUGCUUCUCCUCCUCCACAGUUUUCAAUCAUUCGGGGUGUUGGGUACAGCAGCUCUCUCUUCUCUCAUAGGCGGCCAACAGUAAUGCUCCGGCUUAUUACACCAGCGCUGAGAUUAAACUGGGUUAUAUUGAUCCCAGGCUCAAUGGAGCUUGCGGCACAAACCAUCAGACACAGAUCAUUCAGCUGUUUCAGAAAAGAGGAGGAGGAGGAGGAGGAGGAGGAGGAAGGUGGUUCUUGUUCUUCUUUAGCUCUGCAGACGAGUGGAGAUAACAGGUCUGAGAAAAAGCUUCGACAUGAGGAGAGAGAGCAGAAACGUUUUUUAACUUUACUCCCUUUGGAUGAACACGUCCUCCAGCAACACUGAUUAAAAUUUCACCUGAGAGUGAAACACGCAGCGGAGCAGAUAAACCCCCACCUCUCUGUGUUUUCAUCGCCGUGUUCUGCCCUGAGCGUGUUAUUGACUGAUAGUACCGUGGUGUUUUCAGAAGAUCACACCUCCAACAGGAUUUCUCGGCUCCCUUUUGUUGUUCGCCAUCCGUCCUGAAGAGCGUCCGCCUCAUGUCAGGGUCACGCCGAGCAGCUCAAAUCAAAGCGCCGCCACACAAAUCAAUUUACACACGAAUAUACGGACUCAUUCUGAAUCAUGGAGUCUCUCAGUGAAGCUUUAGUCGUCAGGUCAGCGUGGAACAUGAAAUAAAACUGAAACUGAGAAAAGAGAAAAACAGGAAACCAACAAAUCUGAAUAUAUAUACAGACCUACUGUGGGUUUACUGCAGUGAGGUUGUUGACCAGACGUCCUCUUUUACCCGGAGGACAUGUCCUCUUUAUUGGGGUCUGUCCGGCCUUGUCUGGGGGAGUUAAUGAAAUCCUUCAAAUAACCUGAUCUGACCCGUAAAACUCUUAAAAUUUACUACAUGUGACUCCAUGACUCCGCCCCAGCGUAGUUGUGUAAUUCAGAAUAUGGUCUGUGGGUGGAGCUAACCUGUCAGUCAGGUCGUUUACAGUCACAGUUUGAUCAGACUAACCUCAUAAUUCGUCUUUUUCUCUCCUCGUCCUCUUUUACAUGCCACUGAGAAACCUGAAUUAUUGACGUGAACGUGUCCUCCUCCCCAACACUAGGGGGCGAUAUGAGUCUUUUCAGCGGCGCUGUUUCCGACCGCAUCCAACCGUCAACAACAACAGCAGG